Long non-coding RNA from Oreochromis aureus, 2905 nucleotides. RefSeq lists it as uncharacterized. Lineage: Eukaryota; Metazoa; Chordata; Actinopteri; Cichliformes; Cichlidae. The transcript has 7 exons. The record is from RefSeq and is a predicted model, not a curated record.
CUCGAUUUCCCGGAUCAGACGACACAGUUUCGCUCCCUGCCGCUGAUAGCAGCGCACUCACUUUGGACUUUCAAACAUUUACAGGAGUAAAGUGAAGCUUCUUCCGCUCUACAGCAGAUCAAGUUUUCUCUCUGUAGUGGCCGGGCCGGAGAGGAGAAGAGCUGCUGGAGCAGAGCACUGGUGCAGAUCUGGAGCCGAAGGAGUGUGCGCUGGAAAGUGCAAAAAGUGAUAUUGUAGCAAAUAAACAAAGGCAAAACGCAAGUUUCUGCAUCAUGUCAGGUCCUUUGGGUUACAGUGGUGCUGAAACCCAAGCUCCUCAGAUGACCCUCAAGCAAUUCUGGAGGUGUUCCAGGGAACCACGGUCGCAUACUGGUGGAAGCCCAGGUGGUGGCACUGAGCCUUCUCACAACGGUGUACGUGUCCUUUCUGACGUUAGGAGAGCCAUCCUGGACUGGCUGGGGCUCUCCCCUGAGGACCAUCGGCACCCCUUCCAGAUGGGAUGGAUGGGGCCGGAGGACUGGCAUUGGCGUUUACCAGGAGGCUGCAUGGUGCUGCAGCCAGGUGGCUACAGCCUGCCCCCACGCCAGGGGCGAUGCAGCUGCUCAAGACGGUAGUGCUGGAGCAAUUCAUGAAGGGACUUCCAGUCGGGAUGGCGCAGUGAGUCUGCUGCCAUCGGCUGGCAAGCCUCGAGGCUGCGGUGACGCUGGCCUAGGACCACCUGGGAGCGCAAUUGGAACAUCCACGGGAACGUCCACCAGUGACGGGCUGACCGGUCCCAGCCCCCACCAGCCCAACCCACAGCCAUGGAGCGGAAGCCAUUUCUGCCUCAUUUGUCUCACACACUAAAAGAUUACUGGGCAAUAAAUCUAUUCGGACCAGCAUCUACCACCCUCAGACUGACUGGUGGAGCGGCUGAAUAAGACUUUAAAGUCCAUAAUUAUCUCCAGGAUCUACAGGCAGGAUGUCUGCCACUGUGUCCAAGGCUGAUGGAGUCACAAUACUCACUUUGACCUCUGACCCUAAUAGCCCUUGGCCUCCUCUGUGCCAGAUCCUCAAGAACCUUUGCUGCAGUCCAGUGUGCUGCAAAGUGUCUCAGCACCUGAGGCGCCUCAAAAGACCUUCUGAGAUAGUGCUGGGGACUCUGCAGAUCAUGAUUGGGCUUCUCAAUGUUGUCCUCGGAUCAAUCCUUAUAAGCCAACAUGAUGAAUCAUGGACCAUGAGUUAUACCGGCUAUCCUUGUUGGAUGGGAGGGUUGUUCAUCGUGUUUGGAAUUGUCAGCAUUUUGUCUGACAAGUAUCCAAGUCCAUGUCUGGUUAUCAUCAAUGUGAUUCUGAAUCUGACUGGGGUUGCUUUUGCCAUUGCAGCCAUUGUGCUGUAUAGCAUCAGUGUAUCUAAUAUAUAUUGGUCGGAAAUUUGUGAGGAAUGCUACGGCGGUGAAACACUAAUUAUGGUAAGUGUAGGUAAGGGUAGUUCAGGUUAAAAUACCUAACUGACAAGUGGAAAAUAUACGGUUUUAAUUGUUUCGUAGAUAUGAUCACAGGUUUCUGCUUCUGAAAUCUGUGGAUUUGCAGCUGGUGAUCAGAUAAUAGUGUAUGUAGGUUUUUGACUGUAGGAUGAUGUUGCGAUCACAGUCACGUCUGUACAGAAGUCUCUGCCCGCUCUCCGUUCAAAGGCUCUGAGCCUGAGUCAAAGGGAUAUUACUACAAUAAAAUUGAACACUGUUGUUUGUAUCCCAACAGAUGCUCUACAGAAGCAUCAUUGCUGUGCUAAUUGUGCUGUCAGUCCUGGAGCUCUGUGUCACCAUCAGCUCAGUCGUCUUAGGGAUCAAGAGUCUGAAGAGCAAAGAAAAGGGACAAACCAAGAGCACUGAUGACCCAGAGCUCUACAAACCACUUCUAGAGGAAGAUACCACUGAGCCUACAGUCUGAAUGUAAUUGUGCUGUGAAGCAUUGUAAGCAUGGGCCUUUACAGCUUUGACUCUGUACUGCAACAUUAUCAUGCACUUCUCUUGCAUUUUUUAUUACUUUGUUGUUUUGCUUUGGUUUUGGUUUUUUUGUUUGUUUGUUUUUACUAUAUUGGUCCAUGUUACAUGAAAAUAACAGAAUCUGUUGCACAUUUCAUCAGCAUUUGACUACAGACGUGAGGGCUGUAUGUCUUUAGUCAUUGAAGGUGAGGCACUGAGGCAACACUGUCUAUAUACUUUUGGCAGUGAUGUUAUUAUUUUAGUUGUGACCAUCAAGUGUGCAUGAGGUUAGGUACAGUGUGUUUUAGUGGCAAAAGCAACCACUUCUAAUAUUAUAACUAUGCUUAAAAAGGUUAUCACGUUUUUAAGCAUAGUUAUUAUUAGAAUAAACGUAUUUAAAAUUCUAUAAUGAUAUGUAAUUUGAAGCCAUCUUCAAGCUUUUGAGAUCAUGCAUAUACUGUAUAUAGAAAUAUGAUCCAUGAUGUCAAGAGAUGGGUUAUGAACUCUUUUUGUGAAGCUGCGGGCUGAGUGUUUUUGUCAUUGUGGUGUCUUGAAAUGACUCAAGAGUUUUUCAAGUUUCGUCUCCUUUAUUAGUGCUAGUACGACUGGACUGAGGACGAUCUGCAGGGCAGUUUGGACAGAUACUAGAACCUUUUUGAAUGGUUAUGACAACUUCCCGUGCUGUGGAUUUUUGGAUGACAUGUAUACCUAUACCCCAAGUGGAGGAGUUUAAGUAUCUCGGGGUCUUGUUCACGAGUGAUGGGAGAAGGGAGCGGGAGAUCGACAGACUAAUUGGUGAAGCGGCCGCAGUACCGGCCUGUUGUGGUGAAGAGAGAGCUGAGUGUAAAAGCAAAGCUCUCAAUUUACCGGUCACGAGCUGUGGGUAGUGACCGAAAGAACGAGAUCGCGGAUACAAGCAGCAGAAAUGGGCUUCCUCUGUAG